This 242-nucleotide long non-coding RNA is filed under the name Gossypium raimondii (Peruvian cotton). Its description in RNAcentral is "long non-coding RNA (GRAI_LNC003467)". The record is from RNAcentral. Lineage: Eukaryota; Viridiplantae; Streptophyta; Magnoliopsida; Malvales; Malvaceae.
GCUGAGACCGCACUAUCCGUGUUAAGUUUUAUCCAACCCCUUUUCAGUCAAGUCUAAUGCAACAACGUGAGCAUAGGACUUGGCUGAAACAAACUCGAACCAGAUUCUGCAUAAUUCCUUGCCCAAGAAUGACUUGUAACCACAAGUUUGAACACAACUAUGGUUAUUAGAAAAAACAAAUGAGUUCCAAUCUUUCCAAAGCAACCAACAUAUUAUAGAAAACAGAGUCUGCCAAACCAAAU